AAGUGAAAGAUAAGUUCUAUAGAACUGUGAUUAGGCUAGCUAUGUUAUAUGAGAAUGAACAAUAGAUAAUAUUAUGAAUAAGCAUAUCAACCAGAGAGUGCAUAUAGUAUUCAUUAGGGAUAAAAUAAGAAAGGGUUGAUUAAGAUGAUUUGAUCAUAUCUAAUGUAGAGCACUGAACACCCCAAUACGAAAAUGUAAUAAGUUAGUGGUGAAAGGAGUGGAAAGGGAAAUGGGAGACCCAAAAUGACAUGGAGAGAAGUAGUAUCAAAAGAU
This 273-nucleotide unclassified non-coding RNA is filed under the name Hevea brasiliensis (rubber tree). Lineage: Eukaryota; Viridiplantae; Streptophyta; Magnoliopsida; Malpighiales; Euphorbiaceae. The record is from RNAcentral.